GACGGAGGAUGCAAGCGUUAUCCGGAAUGAUUGGGCGUAAAGCGUCCGCAGGUGGCAGUUCAAGUCUGCUGUCAAAGACCGGGGCUUAACUUCGGAAAGGCAGUGGAAACUGAACAGCUAGAGUAUGGUAGGGGCAGAGGGAAUUCCUGGUGUAGCGGUGAAAUGCGUAGAUAUCAGGAAGAACAUCGGUGGCGAAGGCGCUCUGCUGGACCAUAACUGACACUCAGGGACGAGAGCUAGGGGAGCGAACAGG
This 253-nucleotide ribosomal RNA is filed under the name uncultured bacterium. RNAcentral's name for it is "partial 16S ribosomal RNA". It matches the Rfam family "Bacterial small subunit ribosomal RNA", at positions 524 to 776 of the family's 1533-position model. The record is from RNAcentral.